Molecule: ribosomal RNA, 374 nt
Filed under: uncultured bacterium
Lineage: Bacteria
Description: bacterial SSU rRNA
Rfam family: Bacterial small subunit ribosomal RNA
Source: RNAcentral
ACGUAGGGGGCGAGCGUUGUCCGGAUUUAUUGGGCGUAAAGAGCUCGUAGGCGGUUGCGUAAGUCGGAUGUGAAAACUCAGGGCUCAACCCUGAGACGCCAUCCGAUACUGCGCUGACUCGAAUCCAGUAGGGGAGUGUGGAAUUCCUGGUGUAGCGGUGAAAUGCGCAGAUAUCAGGAGGAACACCCAUGGCGAAGGCAGCACUCUGGGCUGGUAUUGACGCUGAGGAGCGAAAGCAUGGGUAGCGAACAGGAUUAGAUACCCUGGUAGUCCAUGCCGUAAACGGUGGGCACUAGGUGUGGGGACUUUCAACGGUUUCCGUGCCGAAGCUAACGCAUUAAGUGCCCCGCCUGGGGAGUACGGCCGCAAGGCUA